Molecule: ribosomal RNA, 253 nt
Filed under: uncultured bacterium
Lineage: Bacteria
Description: partial 16S ribosomal RNA
Rfam family: Bacterial small subunit ribosomal RNA
Source: RNAcentral
UACGUAGGGGGCAAGCGUUGUCCGGAAUCAUUGGGCGUAAAGAGCGUGUAGGCGGCCUUAUAAGUCGGCUGUGAAAGUCAGGGGCUCAACCCUUGAAUGCCGGCCGAUACUGUGAGGCUAGAGUCCGGAAGAGGCGAGUGGAAUUCCUGGUGUAGCGGUGAAAUGCGCAGAUAUCAGGAGGAACACCGAUGGCGAAGGCAGCUCGCUGGGACGGUACUGACGCUGAGACGCGAAAGCGUGGGGAGCGAACAGG